Molecule: ribosomal RNA, 1439 nt
Filed under: uncultured organism
Description: 16S ribosomal RNA
Rfam family: Bacterial small subunit ribosomal RNA
Source: RNAcentral
CAGGCUUGACACAUGCAAGUCGGGGGGCAGCAUUUCAGUUUGCUUGCAAACUGGAGAUGGCGACCGGCGCACGGGUGAGUAACACGUAUCCAACCUGCCGAUAACUCGGGGAUAGCCUUUCGAAAGAAAGAUUAAUACCCGAUGGUAUAAUCAGACCGCAUGGUCUUGUUAUUAAAGAAUUUCGGUUAUCGAUGGGGAUGCGUUCCAUUAGGCAGUUGGUGAGGUAACGGCUCACCAAACCUUCGAUGGAUAGGGGUUCUGAGAGGAAGGUCCCCCACAUUGGAACUGAGACACGGUCCAAACUCCUACGGGAGGCAGCAGUGAGGAAUAUUGGUCAAUGGGCGCAGGCCUGAACCAGCCAAGUAGCGUGAAGGAUGACUGCCCUAUGGGUUGUAAACUUCUUUUAUAUGGGAAUAAAGUUUUCCACGUGUGGAAUUUUGUAUGUACCAUAUGAAUAAGGAUCGGCUAACUCCGUGCCAGCAGCCGCGGUAAUACGGAGGAUCCGAGCGUUAUCCGGAUUUAUUGGGUUUAAAGGGAGCGUAGGUGGACAGUUAAGUCAGUUGUGAAAGUUUGCGGCUCAACCGUAAAAUUGCAGUUGAUACUGGCUGUCUUGAGUACAGUAGAGGUGGGCGGAAUUCGUGGUGUAGCGGUGAAAUGCUUAGAUAUCACGAAGAACUCCGAUUGCGAAGGCAGCUCACUGGACUGCAACUGACACUGAUGCUCGAAAGUGUGGGUAUCAAACAGGAUUAGAUACCCUGGUAGUCCACACAGUAAACGAUGAAUACUCGCUGUUUGCGAUAUACAGUAAGCGGCCAAGCGAAAGCAUUAAGUAUUCCACCUGGGGAGUACGCCGGCAACGGUGAAACUCAAAGGAAUUGACGGGGGCCCGCACAAGCGGAGGAACAUGUGGUUUAAUUCGAUGAUACGCGAGGAACCUUACCCGGGCUUAAAUUGCAUUUGAAUAUAUUGGAAACAGUAUAGCCGUAAGGCAAAUGUGAAGGUGCUGCAUGGUUGUCGUCAGCUCGUGCCGUGAGGUGUCGGCUUAAGUGCCAUAACGAGCGCAACCCUUAUCUUUAGUUACUAACAGGUCAUGCUGAGGACUCUAGAGAGACUGCCGUCGUAAGAUGUGAGGAAGGUGGGGAUGACGUCAAAUCAGCACGGCCCUUACGUCCGGGGCUACACACGUGUUACAAUGGGGGGUACAGAAGGCAGCUACCUGGUGACAGGAUGCUAAUCCCAAAAGCCUCUCUCAGUUCGGAUCGAAGUCUGCAACCCGACUUCGUGAAGCUGGAUUCGCUAGUAAUCGCGCAUCAGCCAUGGCGCGGUGAAUACGUUCCCGGGCCUUGUACACACCGCCCGUCAAGCCAUGAAAGCCGGGGGUACCUGAAGUACGUAACCGCAAGGAGCGUCCUAGGGUAAAACUGGUAAUUGGGGCUAAG